This 253-nucleotide ribosomal RNA is filed under the name uncultured bacterium. RNAcentral describes it as "partial 16S ribosomal RNA". It matches the Rfam family "Bacterial small subunit ribosomal RNA", at positions 524 to 776 of the family's 1533-position model. The record is from RNAcentral.
UACAGAGGGUGCAAGCGUUAAUCGGAAUUACUGGGCGUAAAGCGCGCGUAGGUGGAUUAGAAAGUUGGAUGUGAAAUCCCCGGGCUCAACCUGGGAACUGCAUUCAAAACUCCUAGUCUUGAGUACGAGAGAGGGAAGUGGAAUUUCUGGUGUAGUGGUGAAAUACGUAGAUAUCAGAAGGAACAUCAAUGGCGAAGGCAACUUCCUGGAUCGAUACUGACACUGAGGCGCGAAAGCGUGGGGAGCAAACAGG